GCCUGGUGUGGUGGCCCACACCUGCAUUCCCAGCUACUGGGGAGGCUGAUGCGGGAGGAUCACUUGAGCCCAGGGCUUCUAGGCUGCAGAGCACUAUACUGAUCAGGUGCCCACACUAAGCUUGGCGUCAAAAUGGAGGGUCUCCUGGGGAGCGGGGGACAACUGAGGUACCCGAGGAGGGGUGAACCAGCCAGGCUGCAGAUGGGUCAGGUGAAAACUGCUGUGCUGCUCAAUAGUGGGAUUGCACUUGAGAAUAGUCACUGCACUCUAGCCUGGGAGACAUAGCCAGACCCUGUCUCU
Piliocolobus tephrosceles (Ugandan red Colobus) is the source of this 300-nucleotide unclassified non-coding RNA. It matches the Rfam family "Metazoan signal recognition particle RNA". From Rfam's summary of the family: The signal recognition particle (SRP) is a universally conserved ribonucleoprotein. NCBI's taxonomy places the organism in Eukaryota, Metazoa, Chordata, Mammalia, Primates, Cercopithecidae. The record is from Ensembl.